UUGUGAAGCAUGAAGACGUAGUGGCGUUUUCCACCGGGGGAGAAAGCACCACGUUGAUGUGCUGUUCUCAGAUACCACCAUGUUCGGGUGCAAUGAUGAAAGAGUGGAAAAGGGUGAUUAGGUUUUGCUGAGUGCCGUGCCAAUGGAUACCUGAAGAACACACUGAACCAGCAGGUCAAGCAAUUGAUACUUACUUUUAUGUUUUAGCAUGCAACUUUUUGGAUCAUUAUUUUUGGAUAAUCCAUGGUUUAUGCAAAUUAGUGUUCUGAGUUCAUCGAAGAAAAUACAUAUAUUGCAAAUAUCAAUCAAUAUAUGCCUCAUUGCACUCUUACCACUUGUUGGCAGUAAAGAUAAAAUCAAAGGGAGAAGAAACCCAGUUUAUGUCAUCCAAGAUUGUGGUGAAAUGGUCAAUCUGGUAGACAUAGAAGUCAGCAUGCAUUAAUAAUUCUUGUAGUUCUCCAGAGAACUUCCUCUGUGUGUGAAUGACUUCAAGGAAUUGCAUGUCAAGUGUCUCUUCCCUUUGGCAACCUUCCUGACCUAAACUAGAGAUGAAAGAUGAAAUGUCUCCCAGAAUAAGAGCAAAGGAGUAGCACUAACUCAUCCUUCAGAGAGAGAGAGAGAGAGAGAGUUGACUCAUUGAUCAUUGAGUUGAAUAUAUAGGAAGCUUUUCCUUUUCUGUUCUUCACGACUGGUUUGCAGUAGAUCUGCUACACUAAUUUAAUGUACACUUCCAAUUACACUAAAAUAUCAUUUAAGAGAAGAAAACCACAGAAACUAUGAUUUACUUUCAGAUAUGCAAAUUGCAACACAUCAAAUAUAAUACCAGCAGCUGAUUAAGCUAAUGACAGUACUAUUUUAUGACUUGCGAAUGUUAUAUCAAGAGAUCAAGUUCUGAUAGUAGUCUAAGGAACGAGUGGUUGCUCUCACAGCUUCAGCGACAAGUCGAUCUCAUCGACGACAUCAUCUAUCUCUCUUCUCUUCGGACCUUCAUGGCACUGGAAGCUGCUGCUCAUACCGAGCACAUGGCGAUGCCAAGCCGCCAAACUCCCACGCUUCGCCAGGCUUCUCUCCAGCUUAUGUGCGUUCUGGUGGCCGCCCAACGCCUGCGAACUGACGAACCUCCGGCGACAGUAGGUGCAUGCGAAGACCCGCGCUGGCUCCGCCGGCAUCGACGGCUUCAACCCGAGUUCCAGACUCACACCAUCGUCCUUCUUCUUCUCAAACUCCAUGGAAGUAUAUAUCACAAGGGAGAAGUGGGGAUGGCUGGAGAUCAGAGAGGAUGAAAGCUAUAAAAGGAGGAAGAAGGCGUGUCAGUAAGUAUGGCACAUGAUGACAUUCAUCGGAUGGUGGAGACGAACCUUUUAUGUAAGCCAUGCAUGGCCAUGACUAGUAGUAUUAGGCCACCUCAAGUUCUCG
This 1416-nucleotide long non-coding RNA is filed under the name Musa acuminata (dwarf banana). RNAcentral describes it as "long non-coding RNA (MACU_LNC005888)". The record is from RNAcentral. Lineage: Eukaryota; Viridiplantae; Streptophyta; Magnoliopsida; Zingiberales; Musaceae.